UCGAGAUUAUCUUCAGCAGUAACUCAGAAUUCUUCAUUCCCGUACUUAAGUAUCUUGUCAACAAGCGACUUACUAACUCGGAUUGGUUCCAUACUUUGAGGAGUAACUGGAACUGAUUCAGGAAUAGGAGGGGGUGGAGGUUGCGGAGCAGCCGGGUUCAUCUGUACAAACUCCAUAAACCAUUCGUUCAUCAUUUAGAAGAAAGCUUCUUUAGCCUCUCCUCCUCAGCCCUUAGAUACGAGCCUUGUACUUCUCAAUGCUAC
This 263-nucleotide long non-coding RNA is filed under the name Gossypium barbadense (sea-island cotton). Its description in RNAcentral is "long non-coding RNA (GBAR_LNC010524)". The record is from RNAcentral. Lineage: Eukaryota; Viridiplantae; Streptophyta; Magnoliopsida; Malvales; Malvaceae.